Molecule: ribosomal RNA, 484 nt
Filed under: uncultured bacterium
Lineage: Bacteria
Description: partial 16S ribosomal RNA
Rfam family: Bacterial small subunit ribosomal RNA
Source: RNAcentral
AUUGAACGCUGGCGGCAGGCCUAACACAUGCAAGUCGAGCGGAUGAAGGGAGCUUGCUCCUGGAUUCAGCGGCGGACGGGUGAGUAAUGCCUAGGAAUCUGCCUGGUAGUGGGGGAUAACGUCCGGAAACGGGCGCUAAUACCGCAUACGUCCUGAGGGAGAAAGUGGGGGAUCUUCGGACCUCACGCUAUCAGAUGAGCCUAGGUCGGAUUAGCUAGUUGGUGGGGUAAAGGCCUACCAAGGCGACGAUCCGUAACUGGUCUGAGAGGAUGAUAAGUCACACUGGAACUGAGACACGGUCCAGACUCCUACGGGAGGCAGCAGUGGGGAAUAUUGGACAAAGGGCGAAAGCCUGAUCCAGCCAUGCCGCGUGUGUGAAGAAGGUCUUCGGAUUGUAAAGCACUUUAAGUUGGGAGGAAGGGCAGUAAGUUAAUACCUUGCUGUUUUGACGUUACCAACAGAAUAAGCACCGGCUAACUUCGUG